UUAAGUUCAGCGGGUAUCCCUACCUGAUCCGAGGUCAACCUUUGAAAAUUUAGGGUUGCUGGCAAGACACCGCCUGACGUCUAUAGCGAGGAGUAUUACUACGCUUAGAGCCAAAGGGCACCGCCACUGAUUUUAAGGCCCGCCCAGAGGCGAAGGCCCAAGACCUAACCAUGAGGCUAGAUUGGUUUAAAUGACGCUCG
This 200-nucleotide unclassified non-coding RNA is filed under the name Helotiales sp. RNAcentral describes it as "partial internal transcribed spacer 2". Lineage: Eukaryota; Fungi; Ascomycota; Leotiomycetes; Helotiales. The record is from RNAcentral.